UACGUAGGUGGCAAGCGUUGUCCGGAACUACUGGGCGUAAAGCGCGCGCAGGCGGCCUCUUAAGUCUGAUGUGAAAGCCCCCGGCUCAACCGGGGAGGGCCAUUGGAAACUGGGAGGCUUGAGUAUAGGAGAGAAGAGUGGAAUUCCACGUGGAGCGGUGAAAUGCGUAAAGAUGUGGAGAAGCACCAGUGGCGAAGGCGACUCUUUGGCCUAUAACUGACGCGGAGGCGCGAGAGCGUGGGGAGCAAACAGG
This 253-nucleotide unclassified non-coding RNA is filed under the name uncultured Caryophanales bacterium. RNAcentral's name for it is "uncultured Bacillales bacterium contains 16S-23S intergenic spacer region". It matches the Rfam family "Bacterial small subunit ribosomal RNA", at positions 524 to 776 of the family's 1533-position model. The record is from RNAcentral. Lineage: Bacteria; Bacillati; Bacillota; Bacilli; Caryophanales.